RNAcentral lists this ribosomal RNA (497 nucleotides) under uncultured bacterium. RNAcentral describes it as "partial 16S ribosomal RNA". It matches the Rfam family "Bacterial small subunit ribosomal RNA", at positions 28 to 507 of the family's 1533-position model. The record is from RNAcentral.
GAUGAACGCUGGCGGCGUGCCUAAUACAUGCAAGUCGAGCGAACAGACGAGGAGCUUGCUCCUCUGACGUUAGCGGCGGACGGGUGAGUAACACGUGGAUAACCUACCUAUAAGACUGGGAUAACUUCGGGAAACCGGAGCUAAUACCGGAUAAUAUAUUGAACCGCAUGGUUCAAUAGUGUAAGACGGUUUUGCUGUCACUUAUAGCUGGAUCCGCGCCGCAUUAGCUAGUUGGUAAGGUAACGGCUUACCAAGGCAACGAUGCGUAGCCGACCUGAGAGGGUGAUCGGCCACACUGGAACUGAGACACGGUCCAGACUCCUACGGGAGGCAGCAGUAGGGAAUCUUGCACAAUGGGCGAAAGCCUGACGGAGCAACGCCGCGUGAGUGAUGAAGGUCUUCGGAUCGUAAAACUCUGUUAUUAGGGAAGAACAAAUGUGUAAGUAACUAUGCACGUCUUGACGGUACCUAAUGAGAAAGCCACGGCUAACUACGUG